GGCACAGACUCGCCUCUUCCACUCGUUUUUUGCUCCCCUGGGUUUGGCCUCUGAGAGCCCCACUGGGUGUUGCUCACUUGGGUCCAUGUUCCUUUAUCCUGUAAGCAUGCCUUGCUCUGGGCACUGGAGACCAGCUCACAGUUGGCAUUGAGGCUCAGAGCCUGCAUGCCGAACAGAACUGCCUGGGUUCAAAUCCUGGCUCUACUGCUAAUCAGCUGCACCACCCCAGGAAACGGAGGCCCAGAGAGGUGGAGCCAUUUGCCUCAUUUCUCCAGCAUGGGAAGAACAGGGAACAGGACCUCAGGGCCUCUGGGCCUCUCUCAGCAGCCUGCUAGCUCUGGCAGCUGCCUCCGGGAGCCACUCCCAAAGAUACCAGCCAUGGACAAACCCUUGCAUCCGGCUCUGCUUUGAAGGGAACCCCCAAAGCCCGUGACCCCUGAGAAGCAAGUGUCUGCGCUGUGGCCUCUGGCCCCCGGUCCUUGUCAUGGAAGAUGUAAAAACUCACACCAGCACAAAGCUGCGGCUGGGAAGAAAGGCGGCCUGUGGCCUGGGAGGGAUUAUGUUAUAUCCAGGCAAGAUACAGAUCUUAAAGCUCACUGAUGCUGGCGCCCAUGUGUUAAUCCUGGCCCUGGCAGUCCUGAUCCUCAGCCCCAGCCUGGGCAGGCAGAGGUACCUGGAGGAGUUGCAGCCUUGCAGACUAACUCUAUUCUUCACUUGCUAUGUGGCCUCAAGUCAGUGUCUUAACCUCUCUGUGCUUCAAUAUCCUCAUUCAUAAAAUGGGGGGAAUAAUAGGCUCUAGUGCAGCGUUUUUAAUGCCGAUUAAGGAUAUUAAUAUUCAUAAGGCGCUUCAAAGCGUGCCCAGCGCACAGUAA
Non-coding RNA from Peromyscus maniculatus bairdii (prairie deer mouse), 872 nucleotides. The record is from RefSeq and is a predicted model, not a curated record. Lineage: Eukaryota; Metazoa; Chordata; Mammalia; Rodentia; Cricetidae.